AUGAUCUCAUUGAUCUAUAUUGAUAUUUUCUGUCCAGAGUUGCUGUCCUUCGUCCUAUUCAUGCUCAUGCUAUGUGCGUCUGUCAUAGCUCUUAGUUUUUGGAACAAUAUGAUGUGCAGACGAAAUAACCCCAGAGAGGGCUAUGAGAGGAGCGGACUUGCUGAGGAGAGGGAGUCGUUAAUCAAAGUGGCUCCAUCUACCAGUGAAACCUUGAACCUAGAUUCGAGUUCCAAUACUUUCCAAUUGGAUCCCUCCGAAUUAACUGUUGAAACUCGUCCCUUGGAUCUAGGAUCCGCCUACGAUGUAUCGAACUCUCUGCAACCGCGGUGAUGUUCCAUGGAGGAAGGGAAUUUCCAAGACUGAAUACAAAUGCAUUUUCCCUCUCAGGUAAUUAUCUCGCAAUAUACAUACAUUAAGCUGCUUUCACAGCGCAGCCUCGCGCUCUACGACGUCCAAACGCCAUUACCCCUUAUCCUCCAGGGAACGUCCGGCAAUUGGCACGUCCUUAUCUCCUCCUCCACUUUUUGUCGCCAACCUUCCACAGGACGUCCAAUGACAAUCUCAAAAUAUUUCUGUGUAGAUAAUAAGAAUGGGGAGGAUAAAGAUUGAUGGCCAAAAUGCGAAACCGCGUAUAUCUGUUUGAGACGUUGUAGACUUCUAUAGUCGUAGUUUAUAUUUUCAUCGGAUAACUCUUAAAAAUCUCCUUGAUUUUUCUUCUCUUGUGGCAGAGUAUUCUGUGUAAAUUUUAAGCUAAAAAGUUAGCUCGAUUUGCGUUGAAAAAAUGAAAUAGGAGCGAAAACGAGACAUCGCAAUGAAGAUACGUGAUAUCGUAGUUGGCCAUCGAUAUUUUUCUAUUUUUAACUGUACUCAUAUUUUUUGACAGUAUAAUUGGACGUCAAAAUGUAUCGUAACAGUUUUUGCUCUGGCUCUUAAAUUUUACGGAAUUUACUAUAAAAUACCUACGCCUUUCUAGAGUACCUUUUCAAAACGUUGUGCGAACUUUUUUUGCAGUGAAAUCUUGAGGCUUAUUUCUAGCAACCAAGG
RNAcentral lists this long non-coding RNA (1044 nucleotides) under Bemisia tabaci. Its description in RNAcentral is "lncRNA ENSSSA2NGG004106". Lineage: Eukaryota; Metazoa; Arthropoda; Insecta; Hemiptera; Aleyrodidae. The record is from RNAcentral.